This 253-nucleotide ribosomal RNA is filed under the name uncultured bacterium. RNAcentral describes it as "partial 16S ribosomal RNA". It matches the Rfam family "Bacterial small subunit ribosomal RNA", at positions 524 to 776 of the family's 1533-position model. The record is from RNAcentral.
UACGAGGGGGGCGAGCGUUGUUCGGAAUCACUGGGCGUAAAGAGUGCGUAGGCGGUUAUGAAAGUUAGGAGUGAAAUCCCCGGGCUUAACUUGGGAAUUGCUCUUAAUACUCCAUGACUCGAAUUCGGGAGAGGAUAGCGGAAUUGUCAGUGUAGCAGUGAAAUGCGUAGAUAUUGACAGGAACACCGGUGGCGUAAGCAGCUAUCUGGGCCGACAUUGACGCUGAGGCACGAAAGCGUGGGGAUCAAACAGG